RNAcentral lists this ribosomal RNA (253 nucleotides) under uncultured bacterium. Its description in RNAcentral is "partial 16S ribosomal RNA". It matches the Rfam family "Bacterial small subunit ribosomal RNA", at positions 524 to 776 of the family's 1533-position model. The record is from RNAcentral.
UACGUAGGGUGCGAGCGUUAAUCGGAAUUACUGGGCGUAAAGCGUGCGCAGGCGGUGAUGUAAGGCAGGUGUGAGAUCCCCGGGCUUAACCUGGGAACUGCAUUUGUGACUGCAUCGCUGGAGUGCGGCAGAGGGGGAUGGAAUUCCGCGUGUAGCAGUGAAAUGCGUAGAUAUGCGGAGGAACACCGAUGGCGAAGGCAAUCCCCUGGGCCUGCACUGACGCUCAUGCACGAAAGCGUGGGGAGCAAACAGG